UUUUCGGCGGAUCGGAAACU
This 20-nucleotide unclassified non-coding RNA is filed under the name Mus musculus (house mouse). RNAcentral's name for it is "oocyte_clustered_small_RNA10677". Lineage: Eukaryota; Metazoa; Chordata; Mammalia; Rodentia; Muridae. The record is from RNAcentral.